Molecule: long non-coding RNA, 261 nt
Organism: Pseudomyrmex gracilis
Lineage: Eukaryota; Metazoa; Arthropoda; Insecta; Hymenoptera; Formicidae
Exons: 3
Source: RefSeq, a predicted model, not a curated record
GAAUAGAAUAGAAUAUUAAUGUAGAAUAUUCUCAAAAAAAAGUAAAAUUGCAAACAUACUUCCACUAGUAGAGAGAAUCCUACAAGAGAAGUGAGCCCGCCAAGUCGUUCGAGAGUGUUUAACACAUCAAUAUCAACAGCGGUUGCCCGACCAGCUUUAUCCGACAUGUUAACGUUACGUGCAACAAGAGUAGCACAACUUCCAACAGUUUCUAUGGUUAAUGGUAUGUUGGACCACGACCAGGCUGGAUCCAAUGGUCUA